CAUCUAAGGAUGGCAGCAGGCGCGCAAAUUACCCAAUCCCGACACGGGGAGGUAGUGACAAGAAAUAGCAGCCCAGGACAAUUAGUUCUGUGAUUGCAAUGAGCGGAAAGCAAAACUGUUUGCGAGUAUCUAUUGGAGGGCAAGUCUGGUGCCAGCAGCCGCGGUAAUUCCAGCUCCAAUAGCGUAUAUUAAAGUUGCUGCAGUUAAAGCGCCCGUAGUCGGAUAUCGUCCUCUUGAAUAGGAAGCAGAUGCCCUUCGGGCGUUCUAGCGCCUAUUCUUCUGGACUAGAGUGAAGUAAGUUUACUUGCCUCACUCUGUUACCUUGAGCAAAUUGGAGUGCUCCAACCAGGCUUUAGCUUGUACAGCUCAGCAUGGAAUAACGAGAUAGGACUUCGGUUCUUCUUGUUGGUGUCAUGAAUCGAUAGUAAUGGUUGAUAAGGACAUAGGGGGGCAUUUGUACUUGCUGGAGAGAGGUGAAAUUCUAAGACCCUGCAAAGACAAACAAGUGCGAAAGCAUUUGCCCAGUGUGUGCCUGUUGAUCAAGGACGAAAGUUGGGGGAUCGAAGACGUUUAGGUAUCGUCGUAGUCCCAACUAUAAACUAUGCCGACUGAGGAUCGGUGGCCGUACUAUUACGACUCCUUCGGCACUCCAAGAGAAAUCUAA
RNAcentral lists this ribosomal RNA (664 nucleotides) under uncultured fungus. RNAcentral describes it as "bacterial SSU rRNA". It matches the Rfam family "Eukaryotic small subunit ribosomal RNA", at positions 412 to 1102 of the family's 1831-position model. The record is from RNAcentral. Lineage: Eukaryota; Fungi.